RNAcentral lists this non-coding RNA (79 nucleotides) under Hyphomicrobium nitrativorans NL23. Its description in RNAcentral is "Hyphomicrobium sp. NL23 Alpha-proteobacteria SAM riboswitch aptamer". It matches the Rfam family "Alpha-proteobacteria SAM riboswitch aptamer". From Rfam's summary of the family: This family is a riboswitch found predominantly in alpha-proteobacteria that binds S-adenosyl methionine (SAM). The record is from Rfam by way of RNAcentral. RNAcentral also lists the same sequence under 1 other name. Lineage: Bacteria; Pseudomonadati; Pseudomonadota; Alphaproteobacteria; Hyphomicrobiales; Hyphomicrobiaceae.
GAUUUCGAUCGUGGUGAUUUGGCCGGCCGGCUUGCAGCCACGUUAAACAAGUCGCUAAAUGGGCCGUCGCACAUCCGGA